CCUGGACUACUAAUAAGAGGAAGAAGAAAUGAGAACUAAAGGAAGCAAGGAUGGCAAGACUUCCCUAGUAGAUCCAGGCAACGUCGUGAAGAAUAAAAACAGAGUUAAAAUUGGGACUGGUACGCUGCUGAUGGCUUGCUUUUGUUAAGGUAUUUGCAUAAAUCUACCCCAGCUUUAUAUUAUUUGGAAAUUCCUUGUUUACCAUCCCAGUAGGAGGUCCUUGUAUAUCUGCAUGCGGACUCCAGUGAUUGGGCGCUUACUAGUUACGAGAGGCAGCCGUCCGGAGGGUGUCCAGCUUGGACGGCUGGCUGUUCUUUCUGCUCUUUUACUUGUCCAUAACUUCCACCCAGUGGUCUUAGUUUCCCCUUGGAAGUGGAACUGACUGAGUGCCAUCCUUAUUUCACUUGGCCGAGUCCAAGCUGCAGCCCAUGGUAGAAGCUGCAAGAGCUGGGCAGAGUUCCAGGCGAGAGGGGCCGAGAGGCGUGAGCGGCGCUCCACAGCGCUUGUCAGAGAAAUGGAGCAGCGGCUUCUUUGUGGGCUGAAGCGCUGCCCUGGCGAGCAGCUCCAGUGGGGAUCUGCCUGCCUUGGGGACACCGCCCGCACACCCGCCUAUGCCCUGGCUCCCUGGCCACACUGGUCCUAGGCAGUGCCGGCUCCUGCGCCUCCCUGAAUCGCAGAUGCUGCGGGUGCCUCCAGGGGAAGAUCCUGGCGGCAGGAUCGCUCGCUGGAUUUUACUAUUUCCCUUUCACGUCACAUUCAGCUUCUAAAGGGUGUGAGCUACAGCACAAACGGUUCCAGCCAACAGAAUGCAGUUCCCAGGGCCCUGCCUGUAACAGAUCUAGAUGUCUGAACCUACAAUGGCAAAUGGGCACUUCUGGGUGUGGGAGCCUAAGGAUUUGGAGCUGGCUCUCAUAGCCCACUCUUAUCUACUCCUUCUCUGAGCCCUCAGCAAGGCUGAGAACUGCUUAUGAAGACAUCAAGUGGUUCACACAGCCUAAGGUAUAUAUGUGCAAGGCUAAGGAAGAAGUAAAUAACAAAGAAGGUAAAAA
This 1049-nucleotide long non-coding RNA is filed under the name Ictidomys tridecemlineatus (thirteen-lined ground squirrel). Its description in RNAcentral is "lncRNA (ENSSTOG00000029861.1)". Lineage: Eukaryota; Metazoa; Chordata; Mammalia; Rodentia; Sciuridae. The record is from RNAcentral.